AUACCUUUCUUGGCCUUUUGGCUAAGAUCGAGUAUAGUAUCUAUUCUUAUCAGUUUAAUAUCUAAUACGUGGGCCAAUGGCCCACGUGAUAUUAAAUUUAUUUUUUGAGGGGGAGGGUCCACCACAAUAGCUUACUAUUGGGCUUCUUGCAUGUUGCCUUGGUGUUGCACUAUAUAGCUUGGCCUGGCACACCCCCA
Molecule: small nuclear RNA, 197 nt
Organism: Cornus florida
Lineage: Eukaryota; Viridiplantae; Streptophyta; Magnoliopsida; Cornales; Cornaceae
Product: U2 spliceosomal RNA
Exons: 1
Source: RefSeq, a predicted model, not a curated record